This is a long non-coding RNA of Stegastes partitus (bicolor damselfish), 852 nucleotides long. RefSeq lists it as uncharacterized. The transcript is spliced from 2 exons. The record is from RefSeq and is a predicted model, not a curated record. Lineage: Eukaryota; Metazoa; Chordata; Actinopteri; Pomacentridae.
ACGGGUCGACUCCAGAUGGUUCAGCAUGAUAGAAGACGCAAGGCUCACGGCGCAACAUAAAAAUUCUAGCAUGCUGUCAUUAAGCGACACAUGCUUGCAGGCCCAUUUCCUGAAACAAGGGACUCUGGACAUUGUGUUGACUCUGUGAUAGCACAAACUCUGGAACAGCAACAGCAAAACUGACCGUUUCCUGCCAAACUGAAGUGAAAUGAUAACUGGCGACUGUGUCAGAGCCCUCCUCCUGAGCUACCACUGGCCAAGAAAUGUCAUAUUGUUGACAAGCUUUGCUUUUGACCUUGAAAAACUUGUUGUAAAGGUCAAAGGUCAGAUGAAGACCCACCCUGGAAAUUUUCUCGAAAAUGGCUGCUGCUUGAUUGGAACACAGCAGGCUGCGGAAAUGAGUCACUCGUUGAAAGGGAGCUUCACUUACCCUCGGGAUCCUCCCAUAAUCAGUAUUAUCCCGUAAAGAAAACACCUUCAGUGGAACAGUGCAAUCAAAGAGCUGUGCAGCCAUGUUAACUGCUUCCUGUAUUUGGCAAAACAAAAGAAAGCAGGUUACACAUUCUUUUGAGAAAUCCUGUGGUCAGUUUGUUCCCCUUUAGCUACUCAUGUAAACUGUUCAAGGGUGAAGUAAAAACAGAAGAACAUACAUGAGCAGCUCUUGGGUCUCAGACCAGUUUGCUAAUCAGACAGCUCAGCUGUAUUCAGGCUGAGCUGGUCUCAUUUUCAUCUGUGUUUUGGUUGUAGAAUGAGAAACUUUAAUAAGUAUUAAAACUUAGGUUCAGUCAUUUUGUUUAAAAUAGGUCCAUGUAUUCCUAUGUCAGAGGAGACUCAUAAAUUAGAACUUUUUUU